This 401-nucleotide ribosomal RNA is filed under the name uncultured bacterium. RNAcentral's name for it is "partial 16S ribosomal RNA". It matches the Rfam family "Archaeal small subunit ribosomal RNA", at positions 473 to 873 of the family's 1478-position model. The record is from RNAcentral.
ACACCGGCAGCUCUAGUGGUAGCUGUUUUUAUUGGGCCUAAAGCGUUCGUAGCCGGUUUGGUAAGUCACUGGUGAAAUCCUGUAGCUUAACUAUGGGAAUUGCUGGUGAUACUGUUGAACUUGAGGUCGGGAGAGGUUAGCGGUACUCCCAGGGUAGAGGUGAAAUUCUGUAAUCCUGGGAGGACCACCUGGGGCGAAGGGGGCUAACUGGAACGAACCUGACGGUGAGGGACGAAAGCUAGGGGCGCGAACCGGAUUAGAUACCCGGGUAGUCCUAGCCGUAAACGAUGCGGGCUUGGUGUUGGGAUGGCUUUGAGCCGCUCCGGUGCCGAAGGGAAGCUGUUAAGUCCGCCGCCUGGGAAGUACGGUCGCAAGACUGAAACUUAAAGGAAUUGGCGGGG